This 72-nucleotide transfer RNA is filed under the name Ptilocaulis walpersi. Its description in RNAcentral is "tRNA-Leu". It matches the Rfam family "tRNA". Rfam says of the family: Transfer RNA (tRNA) molecules are approximately 80 nucleotides in length. Their secondary structure includes four short double-helical elements and three loops (D, anti-codon, and T loops). Further hydrogen bonds mediate the characteristic L-shaped molecular structure. tRNAs have two regions of fundamental functional importance: the anti-codon, which is responsible for specific mRNA codon recognition, and the 3' end, to which the tRNAs corresponding amino acid is attached (by aminoacyl-tRNA synthetases). tRNAs cope with the degeneracy of the genetic code in two manners: having more than one tRNA (with a specific anti-codon) for a particular amino acid; and 'wobble' base-pairing, i.e. permitting non-standard base-pairing at the 3rd anti-codon position. Lineage: Eukaryota; Metazoa; Porifera; Demospongiae; Axinellida; Axinellidae. The record is from RNAcentral.
AGGAAUAUAGUGAAAUGGAAAACACAUUUGAUUUAGAAUCAUAUUAUACAGGUUCGAGCCCUGUUAUUCUUA